ACUCUAAGCGGUGGAUCACUCGGCUCAUGGGUCGAUGAAGAACGCAGCAAACUGUGCGUCAUCGUGUGAACUGCAGGACACAUGAACAUCGACAUUUUGAACGCAUAUCGCAGUCCAUGCUGUUAUGUACUUUAAUUAAUUUUAUAGUGCUGCUUGGACUACAUAUGGUUGAGGGUUGUAAGACUAUGCUAAUUAAGUUGCUUAUAAAUUUUUAUAAGCAUAUGGUAUAUUAUUGGAUAAAUAUAAUAAUUUUUAUUCAUAAUAUUAAAAAAUAAAUGAAAAACAUUAUCUCACAUUUGAAUGUGAAAAACGAAGAGAAAUAUUUUCUUUUUCAAUCAAAUAAUACUGAGAAAUGUCUAGCAUAAAAAAUUGAAAUAUUUUUCAUCUAGAAUUGUCUCUUAUUAAUGAUUCGGAAAUAGAAAAAUCUUGGUUAUGUUAUUAUUCUUCGUUGGUUCGUUAAAAAUGGAUAAAUAAAAACUUUGCAUACAAGAAUUAAUAAAAAUGUUAUAACGAAUUUAAUUAAAUGUUUUAUCAUUAUAUAUAAAGAAUUUAUGGCAAGAUAAAGUUAUAUACAACCUCAACUCAUAUGGGACUACCCCCUGAAUUUAAGCAUAUUAAUUAGGGGAGGAAAAGAAACUAACAAGGAUUUUCUUAGUAGCGGCGAGCGAAAAGAAAACAGUUCAGCACUAAGUCACUUUGUCUAUAUGGCAAAUGUGAGAUGCAGUGUAUGGAGCGUCAAUAUUCUAGUAUGAGAAAUUAACGAUUUAAGUCCUUCUUAAAUGAGGCCAUUUACCCAUAGAGGGUGCCAGGCCCGUAUAACGUUAAUGAUUACUAGAUGAUGUUUCCAAAGAGUCGUGUUGCUUGAUAGUGCAGCACUAAGUGGGUGGUAAACUCCAUCUAAAACUAAAUAUAACCAUGAGACCGAUAGUAAACAAGUACCGUGAGGGAAAGUUGAAAAGAACUCUGAAUAGAGAGUUAAACAGUACGUGAAACUGCUUAGAGGUUAAGCCCGAUGAACCUGAAUAUCCGUUAUGGAAAAUUCAUCAUUAAAAUUGUAAUAUUUAAAUAAUAUUAUGAGAAUAGUGUGCAUUUUUUCCAUAUAAGGACAUUGUAAUCUAUUAGCAUAUACCAAAUUUAUCAUAAAAUAUAACUUAUAGUUUAUUCCAAUUAAAUUGCUUGCAUUUUAACACAGAAUAAAUGUUAUUAAUUUGAUAAAGUGCUGAUAGAUUUAUAUGAUUACAGUGCGUUAAUUUUUCGGAAUUAUAUAAUGGCAUAAUUAUCAUUGAUUUUUGUGUUUAUUAUAUGCACUUGUAUGAUUAACAAUGCGAAAGAUUCAGGAUACCUUCGGGACCCGUCUUGAAACACGGACCAAGGAGUCUAACAUAUGUGCAAGUUAUUGGGAUAUAAACCUAAUAGCGUAAUUAACUUGACUAAUAAUGGGAUUAGUUUUUUAGCUAUUUAUAGCUAAUUAACACAAUCCCGGGGCGUUCUAUAUAGUUAUGUAUAAUGUAUAUUUAUAUUAUUUAUGCCUCUAACUGGAACGUACCUUGAGCAUAUAUGCUGUGACCCGAAAGAUGGUGAACUAUACUUGAUCAGGUUGAAGUCAGGGGAAACCCUGAUGGAAGACCGAAACAGUUCUGACGUGCAAAUCGAUUGUCAGAAUUGAGUAUAGGGGCGAAAGACCAAUCGAACCAUCUAGUAGCUGGUUCCUUCCGAAGUUUCCCUCAGGAUAGCUGGUGCAUUUUAAUAUUAUAUAAAAUAAUCUUAUCUGGUAAAGCGAAUGAUUAGAGGCCUUAGGGUCGAAACGAUCUUAACCUAUUCUCAAACUUUAAAUGGGUAAGAACCUUAACUUUCUUGAUAUGAAGUUCAAGGUUAUGAUAUAAUGUGCCCAGUGGGCCACUUUUGGUAAGCAGAACUGGCGCUGUGGGAUGAACCAAACGUAAUGUUACGGUGCCCAAAUUAACAACUCAUGCAGAUACCAUGAAAGGCGUUGGUUGCUUAAAACAGCAGGACGGUGAUCAUGGAAGUCGAAAUCCGCUAAGGAGUGUGUAACAACUCACCUGCCGAAGCAACUAGCCCUUAAAAUGGAUGGCGCUUAAGUUGUAUACCUAUACAUUACCGCUAAAGUAGAUGAUUUAUAUUACUUGUGAUAUAAAUUUUGAAACUUUAGUGAGUAGGAAGGUACAAUGGUAUGCGUAGAAGUGUUUGGCGUAAGCCUGCAUGGAGCUGCCAUUGGUACAGAUCUUGGGGUAGUAGCAAAUAAUCGAAUGAGACCUUGGAGGACUGAAGUGGAGAAGGUUUCGUGUGAACAGUGGUUGAUCACGAGUUAGUCGGUCCUAAGUUCAAGGCGAAAGCCGAAAAUUUUCAAGUAAAACAAAAAUGCCUAACUAUAUAAACAAAGCGAAUUAUAAUACACUUGAAUAAUUUUGAACGAAAGGGAAUACGGUUCCAAUUCCGUAACCUGUUGAGUAUCCGUUUGUUAUUAAAUAUGGGCCUCGUGCUCAUCCUGGCAACAGGAACGACCAUAAAGAAGCCGUCGAGAGAUAUCGGAAGAGUUUUCUUUUCUGUUUUAUAGCCGUACUACCAUGGAAGUCUUUCGCAGAGAGAUAUGGUAGAUGGGCUAGAAGAGCAUGACAUAUACUGUUGUGUCGAUAUUUUCUCCUCGGACCUUGAAAAUUUAUGGUGGGGACACGCAAACUUCUCAACAGGCCGUACCAAUAUCCGCAGCUGGUCUCCAAGGUGAAGAGUCUCUAGUCGAUAGAAUAAUGUAGGUAAGGGAAGUCGGCAAAUUAGAUCCGUAACUUCGGGAUAAGGAUUGGCUCUGAAGAUUGAGAUAGUCGGGCUUGAUUGGGAAACAAUAACAUGGUUUAUGUGCUCGUUCUGGGUAAAUAGAGUUUCUAGCAUUUAUGUUAGUUACUUGUUCCCCGGAUAGUUUAGUUACGUAGCCAAUUGUGGAACUUUCUUGCUAAAAUUUUUAAGAAUACUAUUUGGGUUAAACCAAUUAGUUCUUAUUAAUUAUAACGAUUAUCAAUUAACAAUCAAUUCAGAACUGGCACGGACUUGGGAAUCCGACUGUCUAAUUAAAACAAAGCAUUGUGAUGGCCCUAGCGGGUGUUGACACAAUGUGAUUUCUGCCCAGUGCUCUGAAUGUCAAAGUGAAGAAAUUCAAGUAAGCGCGGGUCC
Molecule: ribosomal RNA, 3183 nt
Filed under: Drosophila melanogaster (fruit fly)
Lineage: Eukaryota; Metazoa; Arthropoda; Insecta; Diptera; Drosophilidae
Description: eukaryotic LSU rRNA
Rfam family: Eukaryotic large subunit ribosomal RNA (bases 573-3183)
Source: RNAcentral